UGAGGAAUAUUGCGCAAUGGGGGCAACCCUGACGCAGCAACGCCGCGUGAGUGAGGAAGGUUUUCGGACCGUAAAGCUCUGUCGAGCGGGAAGAAAUGCAUGGUGGCUAAUAUCCAUCAUGCUUGACGGUACCGCUAAAGGAAGCACCGGCUAACUCCGUGCCAGCAGCCGCGGUAAUACGGGGGGUGCGAGCGUUGUUCGGAAUUAUUGGGCGUAAAGAGCGUGUAGGUGGCUGAAUAAGUCAGAUGUGAAAUCCCUGGGCUUAACCCAGGACGUGCAUUUGAAACUAUUCGGCUAGAGUAGGGGAGAGGAAAGUGGAAUUCCUGGUGUAGAGGUGAAAUUCGUAGAUAUCAGGAGGAACACCAGUGGCGAAGGCGACUUUCUGGCCCUAUACUGACGCUGAGACGCGAGAGCGUGGGUAGCGAACAG
This 429-nucleotide ribosomal RNA is filed under the name uncultured bacterium. RNAcentral describes it as "bacterial SSU rRNA". It matches the Rfam family "Bacterial small subunit ribosomal RNA", at positions 355 to 775 of the family's 1533-position model. The record is from RNAcentral.